This is a non-coding RNA of Cercophora newfieldiana, 82 nucleotides long. Lineage: Eukaryota; Fungi; Ascomycota; Sordariomycetes; Sordariales; Lasiosphaeriaceae. The record is from the annotation of a GenBank genome assembly.
GGGCGUGUGGCUCAGUUGGUAGAGCGUUCGCUUAGCAUACCCAGUAUGCGAAAGGUCCUGGGUUCGAUUCCCAGCUCGUCCA